This 395-nucleotide ribosomal RNA is filed under the name uncultured bacterium. RNAcentral describes it as "partial 16S ribosomal RNA". It matches the Rfam family "Bacterial small subunit ribosomal RNA", at positions 523 to 918 of the family's 1533-position model. The record is from RNAcentral.
AUACGUAGGGAGCGAGCGGUGUCCGGAAUUACUGGGUGUAAAGGGAGCGUAGGCGGGACGGCAAGUCAGAUGUGAAAUACAUGGGCUCAACCCAUGGGCUGCAUUUGAAACUGCUGUUCUUGAGUGAAGGAGAGGAAAGCGGAAUUCCUGGUGUAGCGGUGAAAUGCGUAGAUAUCAGGAGGAACACCGGUGGCGAAGGCGGCUUACUGGGCUUUUACUGACGCUGAGGCUCGAAAGCGUGGGGAGCAAACAGGAUUAGAUACCCUGGUAGUCCACGCUGUAAACGAUGAUCACUAGGUGUGGGGGGACUGACCCCUCCGUGCCGCAGUUAACACAAUAAGUGAUCCACCUGGGGAGUACGGCCGCAAGGUUGAAACUCAAAUGAAUUGACGGGG